RNAcentral lists this long non-coding RNA (4080 nucleotides) under Oryza sativa (Asian cultivated rice). RNAcentral's name for it is "long non-coding RNA (OSAT_LNC001909)". Lineage: Eukaryota; Viridiplantae; Streptophyta; Magnoliopsida; Poales; Poaceae. The record is from RNAcentral.
GUUGGAUCAUGCAAGUAAAUGAGACACCAUGGAAAAGAUAGACUUUUUCUAUAACAGGUAAGAAUAAGUUGCACGCUAUGCUUGAACGGAUUCCCUUGGGGAGACUAUCCAAUGUUUCUUUCUGUUUCAGCCCCUCUGUUUUAUAUCUUAGGCAGAUAUGAGAUAGCAUUUCGUCCUUAAUAUGUCCAGGCAACUGAUUUCUUGCAGCAAACUGAGAGGCAGCAUGGAUUGUGUCCCUCUGCAGUAUGGAAAGAUGAGAACGAUUAAGAGGUUUAAAUGCACUUGAUAUUUGCAAAAAUAGAAGGUAUGUACUGCUUGGGAAUGGUAGAGUUUUUAUGAAUUUUUUACCAACAACCAAUCUUAUCUAAUCUAAGUUCCCAUUCAUGAUUCUACAUGCAACUUUAUUGUUAGUACAGUUCUGUACCAAAAAGAAUUGUAUAGCAAUACUCAUAUUACUUCUAGCUGUGUCUAUGCAUGUAUGCACAUACAGGUGCACAUUCAAUUUGCAAGAGUUUUCACAUGCAUCUCUACAGCACAGCCUUCGAUUUCCAGACAUGCUAGUGAUAAGCUUAAAAAUCCAUAAGCAAAGUACUUAUUUCUCUCUUUUUUUUUGUUCCAGUUAUUUUGCAAAUCCACAAAGCAGGAAUAUCAACAUCAUCAAAAUUGCUAUAGGAUUUCUUGAAGUUAUUGGAAGAGUACGUACAAAAUUCCUGGUCCGGCAACUUCCCUGAACAACCAGAUUUGUCAUGUUACCUAUGAGGUAUGCUGUCAAUCCCAGGUUAAAUAGCAUGUAGCAUAUGCUAAAUAACAUUUCUCUUUGAUUCUCUGCAUGCAAAUCCCCAUAACCAGUUGUUGUGAGUGUUGUUAUGGACCAAUAAAUUGCCGUAACAUAUCGAACCCACAGAUUUUGUGAUCUGUAGUUUGGUAUUGCUGCUCCUAUCCAUGUUCUUGCUGGAUUGGGGUAUCUAUCAGCUAUUAAAUAAUUGAAGCAUCCUGAACAAUGUACCGCAAAAAGUGUAACCUGAAAUUUUUACAAAUAAUAAUAAUAAUAAUAAUAUAGAACUAAGUUUUCUUCAUCAAGGUAGUGUACUUCGAUUUUUUUUCUUCUUUUUUUUUUAAAUUUGAAGAGGGAAAUGAGAGCAUGCAAACUUACAGAAAUUAGUUUGGUGCACCUUAUCCAGUAGUAAUUCAAUCGGAUAUCCUUUUCGAGCCUAGAGGAAUUGUUUUACCAUAUCAAUUUUCAUUUAAGUUUUUUGUAAGUUUCAAGAUGAAACGGAAAAACACUGUACCUGGCAAAUAAUUCACUGAGGCGCCGGAGACGCCAUAAUCGAAGCAUGCUAAGUAACCUAUAAGCAAGGCCAUUUUCAUGCUUUUUGAAGAUUUGCCCAAGCAGUUGAUAUGGAAUCGUUGAACAGACAUCAAAAAGGAACCAGGAAGAGAAAUAUCUUCAUAUACACUAUUGUCAGUUUUGUUCAACAGUUAUCUUUGAACGUGUACUGUAGCAUUCAAAAUUACAUACGUGAAAAAACUGACCUAGCCACGAUCCUUUUUGGAUCAUCCACUAGAAGAUAUGACUUUUGAUCCAGAUACGCUAGAAAAAAUGUGAGAAUAAUAUCGAUUGCAAAGAAGCUGUCAAUAAUAUUGUCAACAAGAGAAACCUUCCAGGAGAGAUUUCUCAGAUAUGCUAGUUCAAAUGGGCAGAUCCAAGCUGAAUAAACAACAAGCACGAGCAAGAACGUCUCCCAGGUCCUAUGCAGACAUAAACAAAAAGGAACUAACUAUGUAAAUUAACUGUGUUUUGUGUGCAUAUUCAUAUAUGAGCAAGCAAAUAUCGAUCUUACCUGUAACGGGAAUCAUAUGGAGAAAUAAUGAAUUUUCUCAGCUUGAUAGAUUGGUUUGCUCUUGCUCCUAGAGGUGGGAGUGGGUCAUUGUGAAAGAUAUUGCUAAUAGUUUCCAUUGGAGUGUCUAGUUAGAAGUGGGAGGUGCCUAAGUCGAGAUCUUAGUUCCUAGAGGCUGUUUUUAUUACUGACAUGUUGGUGGUACAUUUCUGAGUGUGCCAGGUAAUCUUGACUAGCUGAGUGUGAAGUGGUAGCUGUGAAUGCAGCAUAAAUAAGGGUUUGGUUUGGCUUCAGGAAAGAAGAUGGAGGAAACAAUGAAUUAUUUGGAAAAUAUUGUUUUAUUUGGUUUUGUUAUUUCUAUGUGAAAUAAAAUCAAGUAUUUCUUUCAAAAAGGAAAAUAAAACCAAGUGGUCUGGUCUUAUUGCUCGUGAUUUGGUUGGUUAGCUAUGAAUGAGUUGUAAAUGUUUUGGUGUACCAAGUGGUCAGGUAUUUGGAGACGACGCCUGCCAAGUAUCACUUUUUAGAUAUGAUGGGCAGCCUUUGCAGAGUUCUACAUUGUAGCAAUCGGAGAUUAAGAAAAUUUUGAACUUUUUUUUAUAGAAAAUGAACUGUUUUUCCCCCCUGAAACGGACCCAGCUUCAGCUGAUUCUAUAUUAUAGCAAGAAGAGCAGAAAUAUCACUCUGUUUUCAUUAGUUCGUGCAUGUUGUUUCCAGGGACUCCUUGUAUACCCCGAACUAUCCCAGUUCUCUCCUAAUAUCCAUAAUUCAUAAUCUUUGCUGUCUGCAUAGUCGCAUAGAGCAUGCUUUUUGAGGUGCAAAAUUACGUGUGAAUUUAACUGGAAAACCUCCUGGCAUCUGAAGGUUCAUUCCAGUUGGACCUUUCGUAAAUAUGGGAUGGCCAAGGGUAUUGAAUUAUCUCAUUGAUUCUCGUUUGCAGAAGUGCUUAUUUAACCAGUUUUCCUUUAUAAUUUUGUACUAUUUUGAGAAGAUGUCGACAUUACAGCACGAAGAGUUUAAAUGUCAUUGCAAGUUGCAACUCUUAGUUCAAUGACUGCAUUUUGCCAGUGAAGCUGUACUGUACAUCUUCUGAUCAGUUGAUAAGUCUAUUAAAUGUCUCUCUGGCCAUUUUCGAGAACAGCGAAAGCUUGCCAUCAGUAUCAUUAUGUAUGAUCCUCGAGCCAUCUAAACAUGUACAAGACAGUAAAAGAGAUUUUUUUUGGUUAAUUUUUUGAGAAUAGCGAAAGCUUGUCAUCAGUAUUAACUAUCUAUUGAUCCCCAAGCUAUCUAAACAUUCACCAGGCUCUUAGGUUUGUUUGUUAAUUUUGGCUGCAAACGAAGAACUCACGGCUAAUUUGGAUCAUUUCACGUGUCAUCUUGUUUCUGACUUUGCAGGGUCCAGAGAGAUCAUGGAACUGGAUGUGACAAUUAGUGAAAAAGAAACAUCUUGUUGUCAGGAGGACGUGAAGAAAUGUACACAGAUUGCUUUGGCUUCAGUUUUCCCUGCCUUUAUCACGGACUUCCUGGGAGCUUAUGGCUUGCAGGAAGCCUAACUCAGAGAUCUGGUCGACCUCGUGUCCAAUGCUUUCUUGUAAUUUCUUCACAUGCAUCUACUUGAUCACUUUGUUUCGUGUGUCGCCUUCAGCUCGGCUAGCUUGUGAUCCCGAGUUCUAGAAAAGCAUCUGGAAAUGAAUUGAGUUCUACUUUCAGGAAGGGAUAAGCUUGAUUCUGUGCUCCGAUCGAUUAGGUCACUAAUGCGAAAUUGUUUCAUCCAUGCUGUUGACCAGUCAUGUCUAAAUUCUGAAUUCUGGCCAAAUUGAAAUAUUCAUGACUAAAAAAAAUUCCGUACAUUGCAACAAGAUCUAAUAACAUUAGAUAAUCUAAUUAAGACUAAACAAUCACUCUCAAACUCCAAUUAACAAUGACAGGAUUAAAAAUAGCCUAAAUAGGCUAUUCGAUCAACAUGUUGUGCAUGAAGCAAAUAGGGAUUUAAACAUAGUGCUACUGCUGCAUGGCCGGUGCCACAUUGGUCAACAAAGAUGGAGCUCAUAGAAAGAGGGUUGGGAGAGGAGAGGUGAUUGAUUUGUGCUUUCUCACUUACUUAGGGGGUGUUUAAAUGUAGGGGUGUAAAGUUUUGGCGUAUCGCAUAGGAUAUUAUAUAGGGUAUCGCAUGGGGUGUUCGGGCACUAACAAAAAAUCUAAUUGCAAAAUACGUUAGUAAACCACAAGACAAAUUUAUUAAGCC